Molecule: ribosomal RNA, 253 nt
Filed under: uncultured bacterium
Lineage: Bacteria
Description: partial 16S ribosomal RNA
Rfam family: Bacterial small subunit ribosomal RNA
Source: RNAcentral
UACGGAGGGGGCGAGCGUUAUUCGGAAUUAUUGGGCGUAAAGGGCGCGUAGGCGGCCGGAUAAGUCAAAGGUGAAAUCCCUCGGCUCAACUGAGGAACUGCCUUUGAAACUGUUUGGCUCGAGUCCGGGAGGGGGUAGCGGAAUUCCAGGUGUAGCGGUGAAAUGCGUAGAUAUCUGGAGGAACACCGGUGGCGAAGGCGGCAUCCUGGACCAACACUGACACUGAUGAGCGAAAGCCAGGGGAGCAAACGGG